AGGAAAUGCUUCAAACCACAGCUGAACGGGCGUUAGAAACCGUGGGUGGAACUUGCUUAUUACCUUCUCCACGGGUGAUUGCAACUCCCGGCUAAAGUCAAAGCCUUCCUAAGCUUGAUAAGGGCUUGGAGCGAGGGUUGCUGCAUCGCCCUCCAUCCCGGCUCAGUGUUAUUUGUGGAAGUUAGCGGCAUUCCCCCCCAGGACACACCCUCUCCCCCUCCCCAGCAGCCCCCUCUCUGACACAAGCGCACCGCGCACACGCGGCCUCUCGGGGAGACGCGGCGCACUCGGCGCGGCUGCAGUCGGGCCGCCUCGCCCCGAGCCUGUUCGAGGGGGCCUGGCCGCCUGGAGGCUUCCCCGGAGCCCCAGCACGCCAAGACGUCUUCCUCGCUGCCUGCGAGGGGCCGGGCUUUGGGAAGCUCGGCUGCCCGUUCGUGUUCUCCGUUGUAGUCCGCAAGCUAGACUGAAUUCAGAGCCUCGAAGUUGCAAGCUGGGAACAGCUGAGAUCUGAAAGACCCCCGAGGGGAGCUUUUUUUAGGGGCAGAGCGUGUCUCCUGCUCAACUGAUGGUUCUGUGAGGGGAAAGAGCUACACAACACUCCUGAUAUCCAGAUCCGCAGUGAGGGUGGGGACUUCCACACCCUGAUCAUAGCGGAGGCCUUCGAGGACGACACAGGUCGCUAUACCUGUCUGGCUACAAACCCUAGCGGCUCAGACACCACGUCUGCGGAGGUGUUCAUUGAAGGUGCCAGUUCAACAGAUUCUGAGAGUGAAAAUUUAGCUUUCAAAUCCAGCCUUGGAGCCAUGCCGCAGUAAGUGCCUGCGAUCCCAUCAAUUAUCUGUAUAACAAAGAAUGUGGACGGAAUCAUUGGGAGCUCAAAAGAAAACAACUUCUGUCUCCUUGACAAUAGGAUCGUCAUCUCCAAAGACGGGAGUGACCACAGCUGUGAUUCAACCAUUGUCUGUCCCUGUUCAACAGGUUCACAGCCCAACCUCGUAUCUCUACCGACCUGAUGGAGCUACUCCUGCCUGCUUUCCUCCUGUUUUUACAAAGGAACUGCAAAACAUAGCAGCAUCCGAGGGUCAGGUGGUGGUUCUGGAGUGCCGGGUCCGAGGAGCACCCCCUUUGCAGGUCAAGUGGUUCCGACAAGGGAGUGAAAUUCAAGACUCUCCAGAUUUCAGAAUUCUACAGAAAAAGGAGAUCUGUACCCUAGUUAUCGCUGAGACUUUCCCCGAAGAUGCAGGGAUAUUUACGUGCUCGGCAAGAAAUGAUUACGGCUCAGUAACCAGCACUGCCCAGCUGAUUGUCACCUCAGCCAACACUGAAAACUGUAACUAUGACUCAGUGGGAGAAUCCGACAAUGAUCACUUCCAGCACUUUCCACCUCCCCCUCCAAUCUUGGAGGCGAGUUCCUUUGAGUUGGCUUCAAAGAACCCAUCUGAGAUCCAGCAGGUGAACAGCCCUGAGUUAGGACUGAGCAUGGCAGCCCUUCAAAUGCAGUUCAGUUCUGCCGAGCGGGAAACAAACGGAGUCCAUCCCAGCCAUGGAGUAAACGGACUGAUUAACGGCAAAGCUAACAGUAAUAAAUCUCUUCCAACACCAGCUGUCCUGCUUUCACCCACUAAGGAGCCACCACCUCUGCUUGCCAAACCCAAACUGCUGCGGCUGAGACGCCAGCGGUCCACCUCAUUCGGAUUCAUCAGGCAAACACCAUUGGAGUCCGCGCCUUCUCACAUACAAUGUAGUCGGGGUACAGUCCCUUUGGCAGGACUACAGAUGCUUUGGACCCCAUCCUACAGCCUUCACAAAGCCACACGACCAUUUACGUGCCCCACAGAGAGUUGCGCCUCCACAGACCUCCUGAAGGAGAAUCCCCUGCAUCUGGGAAGCCAGCUGCAGGAUUCCCGUUCGGAGGAACAGCUCAAGUCAGUGUUGGCCCUUGUAGGGACACCAGCCCAGCCGCCCAGUCCUCAUUGCCUGAGCUACAUGACGGACACAGCCAUCCUUUGACAGUUCAGAGACAUUCCCAGGAGGAUUAUGAAGUGGUCAGCAGUUGCUCCCUCUUUCUCAUGGUGGGGGUUCUUCCAUGUGGACAUGCCUGGUGCAGUUAAAGAAGCCGGAUACAGACACAGAUCAAACCUGGCUCUGCAGGCGACUUGUUCUGUGACCUUGAGUGUGUUACCUGAAGUUUCCCCAUCUGUAAAUGGGCUGUGACAGGGACGCUCUGAAAAUCCAGCAACUCCAGAACCAAAUCCGGCUGGAGCAGGAGGCCAGCGCGCGGCACCCCCCGCCCGCCGGCGCCCCGCGCAGCGCGCCCCCG
Molecule: RNA transcript, 2320 nt
Organism: Ailuropoda melanoleuca (giant panda)
Lineage: Eukaryota; Metazoa; Chordata; Mammalia; Carnivora; Ursidae
Gene name: palladin-like
Exons: 11
Source: RefSeq, a predicted model, not a curated record